Non-coding RNA from Chiloscyllium plagiosum (whitespotted bambooshark), 444 nucleotides. NCBI's taxonomy places the organism in Eukaryota, Metazoa, Chordata, Chondrichthyes, Orectolobiformes, Hemiscylliidae. The record is from RefSeq and is a predicted model, not a curated record.
UUGGUUUUGGUGCUGUUGUCUCUAGUUAUUCUCUAGUUGUUGAUUUGUUGAAAGUUUUGAGAAAAAGGACCCCAGUUUCCAAGAACUUCGUUUUGAUCAAAUAUCAUUUUAAACAGCAAAAUAAAGUAUCCUCAAAAACGUACUGACUGUGGACGUCCGCCUUUUGAAAUUAUUAAAGAUGAUCCUUCAGCUUUUGUGAUCAGAGAAGAAGAAUUCACUGAAGGCCCUCUGCUGAAGAAAAGAAGUUGAUGUCGGAAACCCCUUCACUGUUUGGAAUGUACUAUAAUAAAUUACCUAAACAGAAAGAAGGUGUUAUCUAAUAUGAGGAAACAUCUCAGAGCUUUUCACAAUUUUACAGCAAAGGGUUUUAAAAUAAAAUGUCCCUGAAAAUGGUUGCAUUUCACCUUGUACCAAAUGUAGUCUGUGGUUGGGGCAAGAACUGGA